CCUACGGGUCGCACCAGUAGGGAAUCUUCGGCAAUGGACGAAAGUCUGACCGAGCAACGCCGCGUGAGUGAAGAAGGUUUUCGGAUCGUAAAACUCUGUUGUUAGAGAAGAACAAGGGUGAGAGUAACUGUUCACCCCUUGACGGUAUCUAACCAGAAAGCCACGGCUAACUACGUGCCAGCAGCCGCGGUAAUACGUAGGUGGCAAGCGUUGUCCGGAUUUAUUGGGCGUAAAGCGAGCGCAGGCGGUUUCUUAAGUCUGAUGUGAAAGCCCCCGGCUCAACCGGGGAGGGUCAUUGGAAACUGGGAGACUUGAGUGCAGAAGAGGAGAGUGGAAUUCCAUGUGUAGCGGUGAAAUGCGUAGAUAUAUGGAGGAACACCAGUGGCGAAGGCGGCUCUCUGGUCUGUAACUGACGCUGAGGCUCGAAAGCGUGGGGAGCAAACAGGAUUAGAUACCCGUGUAGUC
Molecule: ribosomal RNA, 465 nt
Filed under: uncultured bacterium
Lineage: Bacteria
Description: bacterial SSU rRNA
Rfam family: Bacterial small subunit ribosomal RNA
Source: RNAcentral